AACGAACGCUGGCGGCAUGCCUAACACAUGCAAGUCGAACGAGACCUUCGGGUCUAGUGGCGCAAGGGUGCGUAACGCGUGGGAACCUGCCCUUAGGUUCGGAAUAACUCCCCGAAAGGGGUGCUAAUACCGGAUAAUGUCUUCUGACCAAAGAUUUAUCGCCUUUGGAUGGGCCCGCGUUGGAUUAGCUAGUUGGUAGGGUAAAAGCCUACCAAGGCGACGAUCCAUAGCUGGUCUGAGAGGAUGAUCAGCCACACUGGGACUGAGACACGGCCCAGACUCCUACGGGAGGGAGGAGUGGGGAAUAUUGGACAAUGGGGGGAAGGCUGAUCCAGCCAUGCCGGGGAAGUGAUGAAGGCCUUAGGGUUGUAAAGCUCUUUUACCCGGGAUGAUAAUGACAGUACCGGGAGAAUAAGCUCCGGCUAACUCCGUG
Molecule: ribosomal RNA, 433 nt
Filed under: uncultured bacterium
Lineage: Bacteria
Description: partial 16S ribosomal RNA
Rfam family: Bacterial small subunit ribosomal RNA
Source: RNAcentral